Molecule: long non-coding RNA, 1315 nt
Filed under: Hordeum vulgare
Lineage: Eukaryota; Viridiplantae; Streptophyta; Magnoliopsida; Poales; Poaceae
Description: long non-coding RNA (HVUL_LNC002089)
Source: RNAcentral
ACAAUUUUAGUUUAGCGGAAGCAAAAUUUCCAGUUGACAUAUAUUCCAGUUAUAUAAGAGUUCACACUAUUAAAUAUUUAGCAACAUUAUCAGUAUUGUUAAUUAUGAUAAAUACAUCUAUAAAUAAACCAAUACAAACCAUAUUAUGUUAAAAAAAAUAGAAACUACAAUAUUGUAAAAAAAUAAGUACAGAAAGUUAGUAUAAUAUUUUUAUUUAAUGCACCGGUUCUAAACAUGUUUGGACCAGCUCUUUGUCUAAUGAAUGUGGGUUGAGCAAUUUGGAGCGACCGCAAUGUAAAAGGGUUCAACAAUAAAUUUAUGUAUCGUAACAUUAUCUUCACGCGUCUUCAUAGUCAUACUAGUAAUUGGGUUAAGGUGGGAGAAAAGUGUUAUUAUUUAGUUCUCAAAUAUUUUGAUUAUUAUAUAGCAAAAAACAUUUGUGUAAUGUCAGUAGUCUUUUUGUUCCUUUUUGUCGCCCUCGGGUAUGUAUGUGUUUUUCAACUCAUUUUAAAAAAAAUAAGAGUGAAAAUAAAAAUAAACAACUUAAUUGGCACACCAUGUAUCCAUGUUCUGCUGGUGUGGUAAGGUUAGGCUUUCUUUUCUGCCCCGAUCUAUAUUGUAGCCAGUAGAGUCACUUAUACUUACGUUGCUAAAACAUGUCUCAUAGAGCACUCAAUUUUUUCUUUCCACGUACGAUAAUAGCCGAGCGACAACGCGUCACCAAACUCAGAUCACUACCGACUAUCGCAGUCACCAUCAACCCAUUUCCACCACCACCUUCGUUAAUUCAAGCGUCCACCGACUCGAUUGGGCCUCCAACGUCUCCACUGUCAAGCUAAAGUUCGCCGUCGUUUUUGAGCACCAUCGCAUUCCAACCUUUGCAACACAUCCUCAAUAUCUUAUAGCUCCCUUCUAGAGUUCUGUGUUGCCUCCGGUCACUUUCCCAACCGAUUUAUGUCGACUUUUGCUGACGUAGUCACCAACAUGAUCCGUUGCAGCCUUCCGCGAGCCCCUUCACCGCCAUGGUUACAAGGUGCCCACAUGCAAGAUGUCAACACACGUACAAUGUUCAUCACUAAGAAUGGCAAUUUUACCCAUGUGUAUGAGUACCCACGGAUAUCAUACCCCGUGUGGCCAAGGUAUGGAAAUAAUUUUAUAACAUGAAUAGUACAUGUACCAUACCCGUUAAGUCAUGGGUAGGACAUGAGUAUAUCUUUAAACCCAUGGAUACCUAUACCCUAUCCGUUUAUACUGACAUGUGGACUUUAUCCAUGAAGUGUUUAAUGAGAUUGUGAACCAAUGAUAAAGUUGUCGC